Molecule: transfer RNA, 73 nt
Filed under: Candidatus Moranbacteria bacterium CG2_30_41_165
Lineage: Bacteria; Candidatus Moraniibacteriota
Also listed under: 6 other names
Description: tRNA-Gly
Rfam family: tRNA
About the family: Transfer RNA (tRNA) molecules are approximately 80 nucleotides in length. Their secondary structure includes four short double-helical elements and three loops (D, anti-codon, and T loops).
Source: RNAcentral
GCGGGUGUCGUAUAACGGUUUAUUAUAUCAGCCUUCCAAGCUGAGGACGGGGGUUCGACUCCCCCUACCCGCU